RNAcentral lists this ribosomal RNA (332 nucleotides) under uncultured bacterium. Its description in RNAcentral is "bacterial SSU rRNA". It matches the Rfam family "Bacterial small subunit ribosomal RNA", at positions 568 to 898 of the family's 1533-position model. The record is from RNAcentral.
CGCGUAGGCGGGAUGGCAAGUCGGUCGUGAAAUCCUUCGGCUCAACCGAAGAACGUCGGCCGAAACUGCCAUUCUUGAGGGAUGCAGAGGAGACUGGAAUUCCCGGUGUAGCGGUGAAAUAUGUAGAGAUCGGGAGGAACACCGGUGGCGAAGGCGGGUCUCUGGGCAUCUCCUGACGCUGAGGCGCGAAAGCGUGGGGAGCAAACGGGAUUAGAUACCCCGGUAGUCCACGCUGUAAACGAUGACGACUAGGUGUGGGGUGGUUCAGUCCACUCCGUGCCGCAGCUAACGCAUUAAGUCGUCCGCCUGGGGAGUACGGCCGCAAGGUUGAA